This is a non-coding RNA of Pelobates cultripes (western spadefoot toad), 288 nucleotides long. Lineage: Eukaryota; Metazoa; Chordata; Amphibia; Anura; Pelobatidae. The record is from the annotation of a GenBank genome assembly.
GGAGCCUUGGCCAGCAUUCUAUGUAGUCCAGGCAGCUUUAUAGGCUUGAUAGACAAGCUGCAGGAAUAGGUAUAGAGGGAGUAAAACUCAGUGCUGUCCCAGCUCCUCCAGUGUCUGUGUGUGAGGCUGGACAGAAUCCCUUCCCUUCUGCCCACUAGUAACCUCUCACACAAGAAAUGCCUUGAAGCAGGAGCAGGGACAGCACUGAGAGAUACACUGUAUAUCAUAGGACAGGCAGAACUGAGUGAUACACUGUAUAUCAUAGGACAGACAGCACUGAGUGAUACA